UCAAAGGGAAACUCAAUUACUUUGUUUGGUCUUUUAAAGAAAAUUGGAUUUUUGGAAAUCUAAAUUUAUGUUGGUAUAUUUUUUUCGCUCUUUUCCUCAAAUCUGCUUCUAUUACGAGAUGCAAGCUCUUCAAUUGAAAAUUCAGAGGAAAGGAUACACGAAAUUGAAAUCAACCAAUUCAGCAGGAAAACAUGGAGAUAUACAUGAUAGAAUUUCCACUGCAAGAUUUUUGUAUCUGUUCUUCUAGCAGCAGGUGUCCUCAAUAUAAUGUGGGCAUGUGUGUAUACAUUCAGCAUGGAAGUGGUAUAAAACUCACAGCCCUUUUUUAUUUACACUUGAUACACGAUGUAUAUAGCCUCUAUUAAAAAGAUUAUUACAGUUCAAGCCUGGUGUUAAAAGCACUGCAGAACAAGAAUAAUGCAUAAAGCAAACACUGGUGCAGCCAAAAGACUCAGUGUUUGAAUCUCAGAUGAGAUAAUGCCUAAAACUAGAGCCAGAGAGAGCCACCAAGUCCCCAACACACACAAGGGAAACAAAAUGGACAAUCAUUGAGGCUUGAACCUCCAAUGUAGAAGGGACAUAUGUGUCCCACAAAUGACAUUUUUGCAACAAGGUGGAGCAUGAAACAGUGUUUAAAAUGUACUGAGAGGCUGGAUCUGGUCAUCCACAUGGUCAGUUUUCUCCUUGCGAUAAUUGACUCACUCUCAAAUGUAUUUUAAGAAGAAACCUUUUGAACAACGGCUCAAUUCCUUGUGUGCCCGAAGUGCUUAACCCUUUCAAAGCCAAUACAGUUCAAUGGUAAAUGAAUUCUCUUCACAGCAGGCAUCUCAAGGUGAUUUAGGUGGGCUAAUGGGCCGUGGAUGUGCAUUGAUCAGUCUUGGCAUGGCUCCCUGCUGUAUGCUAAGCGUGUGAUUUCAGGCAUCGCUGCUCCCUGAGUGGAGAGGAUCUGAAAAGACAAUGGAUGAAGCCAGACCUGAAGCUGAGCCCCACAAUCUACCAUGCUAAGGGCUUUCUCUACUACUUCAACAGUAUUGGGAGGACUCCUCUGGUAUUCUGUGAUUAUCACGGACACUCGCGGAAGAAGAAUGACUUCUUGUAUGGCUCCAGCAUCAGGGAGGCCUUAUGGCAGUCUGGCUCCACUGUCAACACUGUGGCACUGAAGGAGGACCCUGGAUACCGGGCAGGAUCCUCCUCAUGUUUAGUGUACCAGUCCUGAUCUGUGUGGUGCACAGAGGCCCUUCCAAUCCACCAAUCUGGACCGAGACAUGCUCUAUUACUAGACUCUUCCCAAAAUCCUGUACAAGAUAGCGCCAGCAUUUGCCUUCCAGAGCUGCAGUUUCCUGGUGGAGAAGUCUCAGGCAUCGACGGCGCGGGUGGGUGUGUGGAGAGAGAUGGGGGUGGUGAGGAGCUACACCAUGGAGAGCACCUACUGCGGCUGUGACCAGGGGCUCUACAAGGGUCUGCAGAUUGGAACUCAAGAGCUGGGCUCCUAGUGUGCCAGUGUCUUCUAGCUCUAAAGAGGAAUUCUCUGCUCUACAGCAAGCUAAUCAUCCCUGCGUCUGCACUCGGAGAACUCAGUGACAACCGCCUGGAUCACAAGUCCAACAGGAUAACAAGUGCUGAGGUUUCAGUGUCUGGAUGUCUCCUGCCUGCAUUGGAGUGGCAUUUUGAUCCGUCUCCCUGACAGCUGACACGGCUGCUGUCAACAGAUGAAUAUCAGUUCCCCUGAAACUCUUCCCCCUCCAGGAUGUUGGCUGUGUGUAAUCUGCAGACCCCCAGCACCUCCGUACUCUUCUAUCAAAGCCCAGGAUUUUCUGCAGUGAAGUGCUUUCUUUUUCACCUUUGCCAUUCUUUCAAUAUCUCUGCUUGCUUUUUUACUUCCUUGCACAGAAAAAAACAAAUCUAUAUAGCCAAAGAUAUUAAUCAAAAUUCAUUCAAAAAUGAAGAGCGUCUCUUUUAUUACUUCAAUUUCAUAGAAGCAUAUGGUACAAUCAAAUCUCUCUUCUGAAGGGGAAGAAUAUAUCUGUUAAAUCGAAUAUAAAUUCAUGUGAAAAAAAUGAGGUAACGCAUUGAACCAAACAGAUAUAAAGGUUAAUAAUGAGUAUCAGUAAUCUAAAUGUAAUUAUGUCUGAAUUCCUAUUGAAUUUAUAUUGAAGUAAAUAUUUUACCGUAGCAUAUUUUCUCAUGAAAAUGCAAAUAAUGUAACAAUUGCAAACCGUGUUCACUGAUAUCUUUCCACUGUCCGCAUUUCACUUAAUUGGCAGGACAGAAGGAAACAUUAGAGGGUAGCCAUUAAGGGUAUAUUGUAAUUGGAAUGUCACUAUAUGCCAGUGGUCACAAAGUAACCAGUGCCAAGUACCACAAAGAACUGCUUUGUAUUUGCAGUGCGAGGAUCUGUUUGUAGGGUCAGGAUCCCGUUGGGAAAGUGCAUGCAGGCUUGAAGAGCUGUCUAGUUAUUUUUAAAGGAAUGGCUUUUGAUUUGCCGUCUUCUCUAGAUGUUUCAAUGGUAACACUUUACCUAGUAGCUGCAUAGUAAAUUCAUGUGUACUUACACAUCAUUAGAGUGUUUUUAUGCAGUUAUAAUGUACUUAACAUGUACAUCUUUUUGCAUGAUCUAUGCAAGGACACAAUUGUAUCAAAAGGGUUAGGUUUAGAGUUAGAGUUAACUUAGGGGGGUUAAUUUUAGAGUUAGG
Long non-coding RNA from Polyodon spathula (Mississippi paddlefish), 2693 nucleotides. RefSeq lists it as uncharacterized. NCBI's taxonomy places the organism in Eukaryota, Metazoa, Chordata, Actinopteri, Acipenseriformes, Polyodontidae. The record is from RefSeq and is a predicted model, not a curated record. The transcript has 5 exons.